GACGGCCGAUUACUUGAAAAUUUUUGCUGAGUUUUUCAAAUUAAAUUCAAUUUUAUUUGUGUUUCCUGUUGAAAAAACCAAUUUUCUGGGCAUAUUUUGAGGGGUUUUGAAGAUUUGAAGAAAUCAUGAAAAUGUCUGAGUCUCGGAGACAAUCUCAGAAAUCGAAGAUUAGGGAAGAAUCAGCCCGACCCAUGAGGAAAAUCCGGAUCGUUUGUGACGACCCGGAAGCUACUGAUUCAUCUGAUGAUGAAGGGGUUGAUGUAUCGAAACCCAAACGAUUUGUUAGGGAGAUUUAUCUUCCUGUUGUUAGCUCUUUUACCCUGAAAAAAGUACCUGAAACUGAAAG
Molecule: unclassified non-coding RNA, 346 nt
Filed under: Hevea brasiliensis (rubber tree)
Lineage: Eukaryota; Viridiplantae; Streptophyta; Magnoliopsida; Malpighiales; Euphorbiaceae
Source: RNAcentral